Molecule: long non-coding RNA, 222 nt
Filed under: Homo sapiens (human)
Lineage: Eukaryota; Metazoa; Chordata; Mammalia; Primates; Hominidae
Description: HSALNT0408661
Source: RNAcentral
CGAUCAAAAGGAACAAGUAUCAAGCACGCAGCAAUGCAGCUCAAAACGCUUAGCCUAGCCACACCCCCAUGGGAGACAGCAGUGAUAAACCUUUAGCAAUAAACGAAAGUUUAACUAAGCUAUACUAACUCCAGGGUUGGUCAAUUUCGUGCCAGCCACCGCGGUCACACGAUUAACCCAAGUCAAUAGAAACCGGCGUAAAGAGUGUUUUUAGAUCACCCC